UGGGUCUAAUACCGGAUAUGACUCCUCAUCGCAUGGUGGGGGGUGGAAAGCUUUUGUGGUUUUGGAUGGACUCGCGGCCUAUCAGCUUGUUGGUGAGGUAAUGGCUCACCAAGGCGACGACGGGUAGCCGGCCUGAGAGGGUGACCGGCCACACUGGGACUGAGACACGGCCCAGACUCCUACGGGAGGCAGCAGUGGGGAAUAUUGCACAAUGGGCGCAAGCCUGAUGCAGCGACGCCGCGUGAGGGAUGACGGCCUUCGGGUUGUAAACCUCUUUCAGUAGGGAAGAAGCGAAAGUGACGGUACCUGCAGAAGAAGCGCCGGCUAACUACGUGCCAGCAGCCGCGGUAAUACGUAGGGCGCAAGCGUUAUCCGGAAUUAUUGGGCGUAAAGAGCUCGUAGGCGGUUUGUCGCGUCUGCCGUGAAAGUCCGGGGCUCAACUCCGGAUCUGCGGUGGGUACGGGCAGGCUAGAGUGAUGUAGGGGAGACUGGAAUUCCUGGUGUAGCGGUGAAAUGCGCAGAUAUCAGGAGGAACACCGAUGGCGAAGGCAGGUCUCUGGGCAUUAACUGACGCUGAGGAGCGAAAGCAUGGGGAGCGAACAGGAUUAGAUACCCUGGUAGUCCAUGCCGUAAACGUUGGGCACUAGGUGUGGGGGACAUUCCACGUUUUCCGCGCCGUAGCUAACGCAUUAAGUGCCCCGCCUGGGGAGUACGGCCGCAAGGCUAAAACUCAAAGGAAUUGACGGGGGCCCGCACAAGCGGCGGAGCAUGCGGAUUAAUUCGAUGCAACGCGAAGAACCUUACCAAGGCUUGACAUGGACCGGACCGCCGCAGAGAUGUGGUUUCUCCUUUUGGGGCCGGUUCACAGGUGGUGCAUGGUUGUCGUCAGCUCGUGUCGUGAGAUGUUGGGUUAAGUCCCGCAACGAGCGCAACCCUCGUUCCAUGUUGCCAGCGCGUAAUGGCGGGGACUCAUGGGAGACUGCCGGGGUCAACUCGGAGGAAGGUGGGGACGACGUCAAAUCAUCAUGCCCCUUAUGUCUUGGGCUUCACGCAUGCUACAAUGGCCGGUACAAAGGGUUGCGAUACUGUGAGGUGGAGCUAAUCCCAAAAAGCCGGUCUCAGUUCGGAUUGGGGUCUGCAACUCGACCCCAUGAAGUCGGAGUCGCUAGUAAUCGCAGAUCAGCAACGCUGC
This 1192-nucleotide ribosomal RNA is filed under the name Arthrobacter sp. BYNT3-1. RNAcentral describes it as "bacterial SSU rRNA". It matches the Rfam family "Bacterial small subunit ribosomal RNA", at positions 158 to 1360 of the family's 1533-position model. Lineage: Bacteria; Bacillati; Actinomycetota; Actinomycetes; Micrococcales; Micrococcaceae. The record is from RNAcentral.